CAAUAGCGUAUAUUAAAGUUGUUGCGGUUAAAAAGCUCGUAGUUGGAUUUCGGCGGACAGGGGGCGGUUCGAUAUUUGUCGCUACUGCCCCAUUUGUCCGUGUUUUUGGCGGAGGUUUCAGGGUGCUCUUCACCGAGUGUCCUGGGAUGCCGUCAGGUUUACUUUGAAAAAAUUAGAGUGCUCAAAGCAGGCUUUACACGCUUGAAUAUUCGUGCAUGGAAUAAUGGAAUAGGACGUCGUUUCUAUUUUGUUGGUUUUCGGAAAUCGACGUAAUGAUUAACAGGGACAGUCGGGGGCAUUAGUAUUCAGACGACAGAGGUGAAAUUCUUAGAUUGCCGGAAGACAAACUGCUGCGAAAGCGUCUGCCAAGGAUGUUUUCAUUGA
This 384-nucleotide ribosomal RNA is filed under the name uncultured eukaryote. RNAcentral describes it as "partial 18S ribosomal RNA". It matches the Rfam family "Eukaryotic small subunit ribosomal RNA", at positions 592 to 976 of the family's 1831-position model. The record is from RNAcentral.